This 444-nucleotide ribosomal RNA is filed under the name uncultured bacterium. RNAcentral's name for it is "partial 16S ribosomal RNA". It matches the Rfam family "Bacterial small subunit ribosomal RNA", at positions 354 to 796 of the family's 1533-position model. The record is from RNAcentral.
GUAGGGAAUAUUGGGCAAUGGUCGGAAGACUGACCCAGCCAUGCCGCGUGCAGGAAGACGGCCCUCUGGGUUGUAAACUGCUUUUAUCUGGGAAGAAAAAGGCCAUGCGUGGCAAAUUGCCGGUACCAGAUGAAUAAGCACCGGCUAACUCCGUGCCAGCAGCCGCGGUAAUACGGAUGGUGCGAGCGUUGUCCGGAUUUAUUGGGUUUAAAGGGUGCGUAGGCGGCUGAUUAAGUCAGCGGUGAAAGACUUCGGCUUAACCGGAGCAGUGCCGUUGAUACUGGUUGGCUUGAGUGUCGGAGGGGUACAUGGAAUUGAUGGUGUAGCGGUGAAAUGCAUAGAUACCAUCAGGAACACCGAUAGCGAAGGCAUUGUACUGGCCGACAACUGACGCUGAUGCACGAAAGUGUGGGGAUCGAACAGGAUUAGAUACCCUAGUAGUCC